RNAcentral lists this transfer RNA (68 nucleotides) under Amusium pleuronectes. RNAcentral's name for it is "tRNA-Val". Lineage: Eukaryota; Metazoa; Mollusca; Bivalvia; Pectinida; Pectinidae. The record is from RNAcentral.
GCCAAGCUAGUAUAAAUAGUACUAAUGGCUUACAUCCAUUGAGAGGCUUUUGCAGUGGCCGCUUGGUU